RNAcentral lists this transfer RNA (69 nucleotides) under Canis lupus familiaris (dog). It matches the Rfam family "tRNA". From Rfam's summary of the family: Transfer RNA (tRNA) molecules are approximately 80 nucleotides in length. Their secondary structure includes four short double-helical elements and three loops (D, anti-codon, and T loops). Lineage: Eukaryota; Metazoa; Chordata; Mammalia; Carnivora; Canidae. RNAcentral also lists the same sequence under 1 other name. The record is from Rfam by way of RNAcentral.
GCCUGUGUGGCUCAGUGGUUGAGCGUCUGCCUUCAGCCCAGGUCCCGGGAUCGAGUCCCGCAUCAGGCU